This 497-nucleotide ribosomal RNA is filed under the name uncultured bacterium. Its description in RNAcentral is "partial 16S ribosomal RNA". It matches the Rfam family "Bacterial small subunit ribosomal RNA", at positions 28 to 507 of the family's 1533-position model. The record is from RNAcentral.
GAUGAACGCUGGCGGCGUGCCUAAUACAUGCAAGUCGAGCGAACGGACGAGAAGCUUGCUUCUCUGAUGUUAGCGGCGGACGGGUGAGUAACACGUGGAUAACCUACCUAUAAGACUGGGAUAACUUCGGGAAACCGGAGCUAAUACCGGAUGAUAUUUUGAACCGCAUGGUUCAAAAGUGAAAGACGGUCUUGCUGUCACUUAUAGAUGGAUCCGCGCUGCAUUAGCUAGUUGGUAAGGUAACGGCUUACCAAGGCAACGAUGCAUAGCCGACCUGAGAGGGUGAUCGGCCACAAUGGAACUGAGACACGGUCCAGACUCCUACGGGAGGCAGCAGUAGGGAAUCUUCCGCAAUGGGCGAAAGCCUGACGGAGCAACGCCGCGUGAGUGAUGAAGGUCUUCGGAUCGUAAAACUCUGUUAUUAGGGAAGAACAUAUGUGUAAGUAACUGUGCACAUCUUGACGGUACCUAAUCAGAAAGCCACGGCUAACUACGUG